Paramisgurnus dabryanus is the source of this 1280-nucleotide non-coding RNA. NCBI's taxonomy places the organism in Eukaryota, Metazoa, Chordata, Actinopteri, Cypriniformes, Cobitidae. The record is from RefSeq and is a predicted model, not a curated record.
UCCAAAACAUGCUGGAGGACAGGAAAUAAGAGAGAGAGAGAGGGAGAGAGAGGCUUCUCAAAAUAUCCAUCGACCUGCGCCCAGUAAAUGCUGACAUUUCCUUUAAAUGUAACUUUGUGGACUACUUAUGGAGUCAAUUUAACUAAAUAGAGCUUGCAAGCACGUGCACCAUUCAGGAAGAAAAGCGGUUGCAGAAGCGUGACAUGUUGCACUGCACUGUUUACAUAUGUGUGUUUGUGUGCAUGUACGUUACCUGUGUGAGGUUGUGUUCCUGUGGUUCAUCGAGAGGAUAUCUGCUGUUGUUUCUCACUUUUGUCCACAUGUUUCGGGUGUUAUGUGUCGUCUUGUGCUCAUGUCGAGUCGUUCCAGGGCGAUUUAGACAAACUAAAACCAAAAAGUCGCUAAUUUGCAAAAAUGGGCGGAGUAACAACAAUAGGUUGUGGGCGGAAAAGCAUACAAACCUUCCCGCCUGUAAUAUGUGUGUAAAUUGUUUACAUUACGGUAGUAAAUAUUUAUACUCAUAAACGGAUGUCCAUCUUAAGUCAUGAUGAAGUGUUCGGUUGGGACUAUUUUUAAAACAAGAUCAUAUCCACUUUAUUUGGGUUGUGUAAUCCUUUAAUCAGCUCGAUUUAUUUUAGAGUAAAAAUAAAGAGAACAAAUUAACACUCAUAAAUACCGCUUUUGAAUGGUAAUAAAUUAAUUAAUAUAGAUUGUUUUUAAUUUAUUGGGCGUGUUCGUUUUAAUGUGGCGCUGGGCAGACGGUGUAUGACAUCAAAGUAUCGCGAGAGCGCCACACUACCAAAGUGGAUUGUGGGAUUUACAGGAUGUAGUUUGUAGACAGAGCCAUCGACUCCCACAGUGAUCUUGAGUUCCUCUUGACAACGUCGUUCCCUCAUUAGGUUGAUGACGCCAGCGAGUCCAGCAGCGCACAUGUGAGCCGCUCGUGUUGACACACUCUCACAUGCCAGACGUACGAUGUCGCAGUCCAGCUCGGAUGCAGACCCACAACAUUAUUGCCCUCAGCACCAGAAGCCUUGAAGCCUUUUGUCCAGUUGAGCAGAAUGCCCUGCCACAAUGCAAACACACAACAGUACAUACGCGGUACCAGUCAUGGCGUCCUCUUGGAUGGAGUACAUAUGAUGUUUCGUUUCCACCUUCCAGCCACGCACUUCAUCCUCACCCACUUUCACCAGCAUCACCCGGAAGUUUGUUCCUCCAAGAUCCAGUGCCAGGAAAUCACCCACCUCUUGAGAUAAAUCAGAUUCAUCCAACAUCACAUU